AAACUUUCAACAACGGAUCUCUUGGUUCUGGCAUCGAUGAAUAACGCAGCGAAAUGCGAUAAGUAAUGUGAAUUGCAGAAUUCAGUGAAUCAUCGAAUCUUUGAACGCACAUUGCGCCCGCCAGUAUUCUGGCGGGCAUGCCUGUCCGAGCGUCAUUU
This 158-nucleotide ribosomal RNA is filed under the name Trichoderma asperellum. RNAcentral's name for it is "5.8S ribosomal RNA". It matches the Rfam family "5.8S ribosomal RNA". From Rfam's summary of the family: 5.8S ribosomal RNA (5.8S rRNA) is a component of the large subunit of the eukaryotic ribosome. It is transcribed by RNA polymerase I as part of the 45S precursor that also contains 18S and 28S rRNA. Lineage: Eukaryota; Fungi; Ascomycota; Sordariomycetes; Hypocreales; Hypocreaceae. The record is from RNAcentral.